CUACGGGUGGCAGCAGUGGGGAAUAUUGCACAAUGGACGAAAGUCUGAUGCAGCAACGCCGCGUGGAGGAUGACACAUUUCGGUGCGUAAACUCCUUUUAUAUGAGAAGAUAAUGACGGUAUCAUAUGAAUAAGCACCGGCUAACUCCGUGCCAGCAGCCGCGGUAAUACGGGGGGUGCAAGCGUUACUCGGAAUCACUGGGCGUAAAGAGCAUGUAGGCGGAUUAAUAAGUUGGAAGUGAAAUCCUAUAGCUUAACUAUAGAACUGCUUCCAAAACUGUUGAUCUAGAAUAUGGGAGAGGUAGAUGGAAUUUCUGGUGUAGGGGUAAAAUCCGUAGAGAUCAGAAGGAAUACCGAUUGCGAAGGCGAUCUACUGGAACAUUAUUGACGCUCAGAUGCGAAAGCGUGGGGAGCAAACAGGAUUAGAUACCCUAGUAGUC
RNAcentral lists this ribosomal RNA (439 nucleotides) under uncultured bacterium. RNAcentral describes it as "partial 16S ribosomal RNA". It matches the Rfam family "Bacterial small subunit ribosomal RNA", at positions 339 to 795 of the family's 1533-position model. The record is from RNAcentral.